Molecule: ribosomal RNA, 515 nt
Filed under: uncultured bacterium
Lineage: Bacteria
Description: partial 16S ribosomal RNA
Rfam family: Bacterial small subunit ribosomal RNA
Source: RNAcentral
GAUGAACGCUGGCGGCGUGCCUAAUACAUGCAAGUCGAGCGAAUGGGUUAAGAGCUUGCUCUUAUGAAGUUAGCGGCGGACGGGUGAGUAACACGUGGGUAACCUGCCCAUAAGACUGGGAUAACUCCGGGAAACCGGGGCUAAUACCGGAUAACAUUUUGAACCGCAUGGUUCGAAAUUGAAAGGCGGCUUCGGCUGUCACUUAUGGAUGGACCCGCGUCGCAUUAGCUAGUUGGUGAGGUAACGGCUCACCAAGGCAACGAUGCGUAGCCGACCUGAGAGGGUGAUCGGCCACACUGGGACUGGGACACGGCCCAGACUCCUACGGGAGGCAGCAGUAGGGAAUCUUCCGCAAUGGACGAAAGUCUGACGGAGCAACGCCGCGUGAGUGAUGAAGGCUUUCGGGUCGUAAAACUCUGUUGUUAGGGAAGAACAAGUGCUAGUUGAAUAAGCUGGCACCUUGACGGUACCUAACCAGAAAGCCACGGCUAACUACGUGCCAGCCGCCGCGGUAA